Molecule: long non-coding RNA, 3050 nt
Filed under: Sarcophilus harrisii (Tasmanian devil)
Lineage: Eukaryota; Metazoa; Chordata; Mammalia; Dasyuromorphia; Dasyuridae
Description: lncRNA (ENSSHAG00000030941.1)
Source: RNAcentral
CACCGCAGGAAUUAGAGAAAACUGGAGCCAGGAGGAGUUUUAAUAGGCAGAUUUUAGAGAUUAUCUGAACGUUCUCAUUUUGACAGAUGAGGAAACUGAGGCCCAGAGACUUGCUUCACCAGAUUAGAGGCUGAGUUGGGAGGGAGGAGAAGUCGGGUCCCAACCCAGGGGACAUUCCUCUAGCUAACGCAAGCUAGAAGGGGGGAUUCAGGCCAAGGAUACCUAACUCCCCAUGGGACUUCAGCUUCCGGGGGGAGUCCUCUUCCCUCUGCCGCCGUCUCCAAUCCGGAGGAAAGUUGCUGCUGGCCCCUCUAGCUGCCUGACCGCAGGUUUAUCUCCAGGAGGGUUGUCCCUAACGGGUGCAGGGUGGGAACAGGUGAGAGAAUCUCCCACAAGCCCCUCCUCCCUACAGGUGCCUCCCUUUCCUUUCCACCCGUGGAGAGCAGUGCUUUAUCAGCAAAUUGCCGGCUUGCGGGUCCGGAAAGAUAGCCGACUCGCCCGGGGCCUCGCAGGGUGUGUGUCGGACAUUCCCAGGUCUGUUUGAGCGCAGUAGGCGGCUAAUAACGAGCGGGGGGACGCCCUCCCCCGCGCCCUUGAUGCCCAGUCGGAGGCUCGUGUUCUCCCCCCAGGAGCCCUCGCGGCCUUUGAUGGAUGGGAGCCCGGAGAUCUGAGGCCCUCCUCUGCCCGGCGAGGGCUCAGCGUCAGGGGCUGAGGGCGGAAGGCGCUGUCCGUGCGGGGACAUGGGAGACAGGGAGAGGGCAGAGGAGCGCAAUGCGCGCCCGGCCAGUGUCAAGCGCCGUGCCGAGGAAGCGGAGGCUCCACCGCGGACGGGAACUGGGGCGCAGAGAGGGGCAAAGAUCGCAGCGCUGCGAGGGGCUUCGCAACAUUAAGAAAGGAAACGAGAUUCAGUCCCGGCUCCGCUAAUUCCAGUUCCUAAACCCUCCUCGCUACGUCACGUGGCGGGCGCAGAGUGGCGGGCCAGCUUCCUGCUUCCGAAACACGGGAAGGAACAAAGCGCCCGCGGGGUAGAAUUCGAACCUAGGACCCCGUAACCGAGAUUCGAAUUCCCCACCUGGCCCCGAGAGACUCGAGCGCACGGUCCUAACGUCACGCAGGCGUUGCUCGCUCCAGCCGAAGGCUUCGGGACUUCACCUCAGCGAUGCUCUCCGCUCCGGACCACCUCCUACCCCGCCGUCUCGGGGCCUAGCACCUCUACACCUCUUCCAGAGAACUACAGGGAGGCUGAGUGGUGACAGCGAUCUGAGAGGUCCAGGCUGACAUUCCAGACUGAAAGCAGUGGAAGAGUAGCUCCAACGUGGAUCUCCUGACUCGCUGCCAUCAAUCAGUCUCUAGCCAGCUGCUGCCCUUGUUUUCUUGCCUGUGCUCAGGCAGUAAUAACCAAGCAACUUUCCUGGAUGUGGUGGUCUACCACCGUAAUGGGAAAAUCUGAGUACAGUGGGACAAGGUAUGUAGAGUUAUAUUUUAUCACCUUUUGAGUCUUUUUUAAAUGAAUAAAAUGAGUAUUACUAUUUUCUUUAAAUUGUAUACAUGAUAUAUUGCUUACAGUUGAUAUGAAGGAAAGAGCUAAGACAUUAGUAGUUGAGGGUAUUCCUGAAUGUUGUACUUUUAGGAUCCUUUUAUCUUGAAAAUAUCUCUGGACCUUUUGAUUAGUCCUCUGGGAGAAACUGGAACAGCUGAUCCCUUAAGGAAGAAACUAUCCUUGUAUCUCUCUCUUCCUUUUCACCUCUGUGGCAGCUACCAUACACUCUCAUCCCUUCCUUCCUAGAAGACUGAAAUAGUCUCCUUACUGAUCUUCCUGCCUGUAAUUUAAUUCCUUUCCAAUCCACGUGCUGCACUAUUGCCCAAGUAAUUUUCCUUACACACUGCUUUCAUAUGUCACCUUUUACCUCAUAAAUUUUGAGUGGCUCCCCAUUGCCUACUGAAUUAAGUGAUCACCGCAUUCAAAACCCUCCAUGAUAUGGUACUACCCUAUCUUUCUGCCUUAUCUUCUUCGAAGCAUUUCCCUCAAUUAAUUUGCCUAUUCCUUUUAAAGAGAGAGGUAUGAUCAGACAUCUUAUUUGGCUACACUACAUAGGGACUUCCUCUGACUGACUUCAUCAUGUCCCAGGAAGUCCAUUACUGGAAAGUCUCAUCAGUCUGAGACAUCCCAAGAGUCCUGAUGCUCUUCAGUCUCUGCCCUUCUGAUUGGGGGAUAUCUUUCCCCAUUAGACUGUAAGUUUUGUAAGGGCAGAGAAUUUUUUUUUUUGUUGUUGUUGUUGUUGCAUUUGUAGCACUUAGCAUGGUGUCUGGCACAUAAGUGCUUAUAAAUGUUUAUUGACUGACAACAUUUUAAUCAAAACAUACUAUUCUUCAUCCUCAGUUCUUUUCAGUUCAAUUUAAUAAACAUUUUCCAUCACUCUUGUGUUUCGGUGCCUUUGCUCAUGGUAUCUAUGUUUGGACUGUCCUUACCUCCAUCCCCCAUUUAUUGAAGGUCCUUUAAGGCACAGCACAAGUAACAUAUUCUUCAAGUAUCUUUCAUUUACUUUCGUAGCUGAAGUUAUCUUUUCCUCCUCAAAGACCUUCUAGCAUUUUGUUUGCAUCUCUCCUUUGCCUUUAUCUUACCCUCAUUUAUGUCAUCAUUCUUAGAAUUAUAGGCUUAGAGCUAGAAGGAACAUUAGAGGAUAUGGAAUUCAGAAUUCUCAUUUCACUGAUGAGGAAACUGGGGCCCAGAGAAUUUAAGUAAUGUGACCAAGAUCACAGAAGAACUAAGUGUGAUUUGAAUCCAGGAUUUCCUGACUCCAGAGACCAAUGUUCUAUCCACAGUAUCAGCUUUCUCAAGAGUUUGGGCCUAGAGCUGAUGGCAGACAAUGUCAACAACUAACAACAUAGCUCAGGCUCGGAAGCUGGUGGAACAGCUCCGCAUCGAGGCUGGAGUGGAGAGGAUCAAGCAAAAUUUUACCUAUCUCAUGCCAGUCCUUCACAACCAACAGCAGCUGAGAAUGAAAAAAUAGAAAGAAGAAAGAAAUCUCCAUCACAGACAUGUUAUGCCA